CUAGCUGUAAACGAUGGAUGCUAGGCGUUGAGAGUAUCGACCCUCUCAGUGUCGUAGCUAACGCGUUAAGUAUCCCGCCUGGGGAGUACGCGCGCAAGCGUGAAACUCAAAGGAAUUGACGGGGGCCCGCACAAGCGGUGGAGUAUGUGGUUUAAUUCGAUGCAACGCGAAGAACCUUACCAGGGCUUGACAUGUCCGGAACCCUGCCCAAAGGCGGGGGUGCCUACGGGAACCGGAACACAGGUGGUGC
This 250-nucleotide ribosomal RNA is filed under the name uncultured Chroococcidiopsis sp. RNAcentral describes it as "partial 16S ribosomal RNA". It matches the Rfam family "Bacterial small subunit ribosomal RNA", at positions 796 to 1044 of the family's 1533-position model. The record is from RNAcentral. Lineage: Bacteria; Bacillati; Cyanobacteriota; Cyanophyceae; Chroococcidiopsidales; Chroococcidiopsidaceae.